RNAcentral lists this ribosomal RNA (188 nucleotides) under Enterococcus faecalis. RNAcentral describes it as "partial 23S ribosomal RNA". It matches the Rfam family "Bacterial large subunit ribosomal RNA", at positions 1 to 187 of the family's 2925-position model. Lineage: Bacteria; Bacillati; Bacillota; Bacilli; Lactobacillales; Enterococcaceae. The record is from RNAcentral.
GGUUAAGUGAAUAAGGGCGCACGGUGGAUGCCUUGGCACUAGGAGCCGAUGAAGGACGGGACUAACACCGAUAUGCUUUGGGGAGCUGUAAGUAAGCUAUGAUCCAGAGAUUUCCGAAUGGGGGAACCCAAUAUCUUUUAUAGGAUAUUACUUUUCAGUGAAUACAUAGCUGAUUAGAGGUAGACGCA